UGGAGAUGGGGUCUUUAAAGAGAUGAUUCAGGUAAAAUGAAGCCCUUAGGGUGGGCCCUGAUUCAAUACUGCUGUCCAGGUAAUAGGAGAUGAGGGCACAGGCCCACACAAAGGGAUGACCAUGUGAAGGCACAAGGAGAAGACGCCACCUGCAAGCCAAGGAGAGGCCCCAGGAGAAACCAACUCUGCCGACACCCAGACCUGACUUCCAGCCUCCAGAAUGGUGGUGAAACUGAAGCACAGAGUGGUGAUCCUAGAGGCCACCCCGGCUGUGAGGGCGUCUGCAUCAGAGCCCCGAGCUCACCGAGUCCUCCAUCAGAUAGGGCUUCACACCGAGCACGAGGCUGCCUAAACUUUUGCUGCACCUCCAGAUAUUAUCGAGUGGGAGCAGGACGGGCAGAUCUUUUCCAGAUAAGUAAACCUACCUAUUGGGUGGGGGUCCCCAAAGUCCUGUCCUGGAGUGGUUUCGGCAAAAAGAAUUUGGAGUUGAGCACCCUAGGCGAUGAGGGAGCACAGGUCUGAUUGGGGCAUGAGAAAGGUGGUGAGGACGUGCUGAGAGGAGAGGACUUGAUCUCCGUGAGGAGGGCCUGGGGUACAGACUGCAUGGGGAUGCGGGGUGGAGUCCACAGAGAGGCUUCUGGAAGUGAAGGUGAGGUGGUGGCCGGAAGCCCAGGCCCUGGAGCACAAGGUGUCACCUGUCUCACCACCAACUGUCACUGAGGGGAGGAGGGUGGCAGAGGAGUCGUGGUCGGCUCUCAGCCAUGGAACUCCCCCUGCAAGAGACCCAGGCUCAGGCUUCCCAGGGCUCAGGUUGCUGCUAGUUGAAGCCUCUUCCUGGGAAUCCAACCCUCACAGGUUUUGAUUUUCACGCCUGGUUAAAGCUGUUGGCUCCUUUGGCAAGUCAGAGGCGGGAGUGGGGGUGAUGGGACAGGUUAGGGAGUAGAUGGUGUACUGACUCCAGGCCAGUGCCUCCCUCCACUGUCCUUUCCACGGAGCUGGGCAAUGCACCAGGAUAGGACUGGGCCUCAGGUGGAUGGUCCAGGGAGCAGAGGCUUCUGGUGCUUAGUAGCACAUCCCAGAACUUCUCCCAGAACUGCCACCAGAUACAACAUGUCCCCAGCUCCCGGGGAACUCAGCAGGAAGCCUUGCGGGUGUGCCAGCCCUCUGGCUUCUACCCUCUGCCUUCAGUGAGCUUUUGUCUGUUUGCUGGGGGCUCAGGGCAAUCACAGCACAUACAUACGCAC
Molecule: long non-coding RNA, 1244 nt
Filed under: Papio anubis (olive baboon)
Lineage: Eukaryota; Metazoa; Chordata; Mammalia; Primates; Cercopithecidae
Description: lncRNA (ENSPANG00000040976.1)
Source: RNAcentral